This 942-nucleotide long non-coding RNA is filed under the name Olea europaea subsp. europaea. Lineage: Eukaryota; Viridiplantae; Streptophyta; Magnoliopsida; Lamiales; Oleaceae. The record is from RNAcentral.
CGAUAAAAAAAAAGAAGAAAUUGUUAGUAACUUUUUAGAAACAUACUGUUAUUCAGAAAAUUCAUUCAUUGAUUUUCUGGUGAAAUACACAAGAAAUUUGUCUUCUUUGAAUCUCUCUAUUUCCUUUUUUGAGCUAAAGAAGAAAAAGGCAAAAAUUCCCUUAACAAACAGUAUCAAGCACCAAACUUGGAUUUGAUUUCAUCAAUCACAGUUUUUUCAACUUGGAAAGCUUUUGCUAGAACAUCAUCAGGAACAGAAGGUUUGGAAGCAAAGAGACUCCUCGGAGCUACAACAUAUCCAGGCAAAUGACUGUUAAAAGCAGUGAAAAUCAGGGCCUUCUCUUCCCCAACAUUCAUCUGGAAAUGUACAAGCCCCUUAGGAAUCACAAACAUUUGUCCAGGAGUCAAGAUUUUGGAGUAGAACACAUUCCCAGUUGUUAUAAAUCCCACGAGGAGUCUCCCGUUGAUCACUACUCCUGUCUCGGAUGCCCGAGGAUGGGAGUGGGGUGGAUUGAGUCCUCCAGGACCAAUAUCGACUCGACUCAUUGAGAUCCCAAGCGUGUUAAGGCCCGGAAAUGUCAAGACGUUGCCUGAACUCGCAACGCUUCCGAAGGGAAUACUCAUCUUUCCCUCUUUGCUUAGCCCGUCGAAGAAGAAAUCAUCUGAAGUGACAUUUGCGGCAGGCUUGCAAGGAAAUCCGUUAACGGAUAAGGUGCCUUUCGUGUCCGCGAUGCAGAAGUCCUGCAAAGGGUCAGGAUCUGAAGAUUGAGAAGGCAAUGGAAAUAGCAAAAAACCUAUCAGGCACACUGUGAAGUGAACAUACCAGCAGCCUGAUUGAUUUUUCAUGAUAGCCAUGGCUUAUUCUUUUAGGCUAAGAGCAAAUGAAUAAUAUCGUAUACAUGCAUUCUAUAUAUUGGGAUGUUGGAAAUGGUGUUUAUUAAUA